RNAcentral lists this long non-coding RNA (794 nucleotides) under Dermacentor andersoni. RNAcentral's name for it is "uncharacterized LOC126525644". The record is from RNAcentral. Lineage: Eukaryota; Metazoa; Arthropoda; Arachnida; Ixodida; Ixodidae.
UUGAGGCGGAAGACGAAGCCAGCAAGGGCCUGGCCGCAAGUGCGUUCGAAUCCGGGACUACAGUCCCUCGUCUGUCCGUACUUCCUCUUUCGACGUGCGGCGCCUUCCCAAAGCGCACAAGUCCGCUAACCGCAGAACGCUUCCGACGUAGCAAAGCCGCGUUUCCUUCGGUACUUCGCAGCAACGCCGCCUUUCCCUCGGCGGCGGGCGAAUAGCCUGCAGACGUCGUCGCAUUAAACCGCGAUCUCGACACCUCGCGCGUCACGAGCAGGAGCCGACCGGCAGCCUCCGGCCCUUUCGGACUCGGUGGCAUUUGCCGCGGAGGACGGGAGAGCACUUUAGGCCACGGUUCCUUCCGUACUUGGCAGCCGCACCCUCAUACCGACAGUUCCAUGACCGACCGAGCGCCACACCGUUCCUUUAGUACUUGGGCGGCAACAAAGUCGGGUCGUUACUCCAUACUCGCCGCAGGAAGCGACCGGCAGCCGCCAGCCUUUUCAGACUCGGCAGCGUUUGCCGCGGAGGACGGGAGAGCGCUCGCACCACGGUUCCGUGUGUCGGCAGCGGCAUUAGCUCUCGACCGUCAGUUCCUUGACCGACCGCACGCUUCGCCGUUCCCCUCGUACUGGGCAAAGCAGCAGGUCGGGUCGUCUUACUCCCAUUCCGCGCAAGAGCGCCAAAGCGGACAGAAAGCCCACCCAGUGUGCGUUACGCCGUUUCUACCCGCGGGCGCGGCCAAGCCAACCGUCCAAGGUUGCAGCCGGCGUCCACUGGGCGCAACAAAUUUGGCACGG